Caerostris darwini is the source of this 113-nucleotide non-coding RNA. Lineage: Eukaryota; Metazoa; Arthropoda; Arachnida; Araneae; Araneidae. The record is from the annotation of a GenBank genome assembly.
ACGGCCAUACCAUGCUGAAUAUACCGGUUCUCGUUAGAUCACCGAAGUCAAGCAUCAUUGGGCGCGGUCAGUCAAACCAGGUGGGUGACCACCUGGGAGCACCGCGUGCCGUU